This 395-nucleotide ribosomal RNA is filed under the name uncultured bacterium. RNAcentral describes it as "partial 16S ribosomal RNA". It matches the Rfam family "Bacterial small subunit ribosomal RNA", at positions 360 to 773 of the family's 1533-position model. The record is from RNAcentral.
AAUAUUGCACAAUGGAGGAAACUCUGAUGCAGCGACGCCGCGUGAGUGAUGAAGGCCUUCGGGUCGUAAAACUCUGUCCUAGGGGACGAUAAUGACGGUACCCUAGGAGGAAGCCCCGGCUAACUACGUGCCAGCAGCCGCGGUAAUACGUAGGGGGCAAGCGUUGUCCGGAUUUAUUGGGCGUAAAGGGUUCGCAGGCGGUCUCUUAAGUUAGAUGUGAAAGAUCACGGCUCAACCGUGGUAAGCAUUUAAAACUGGGAGACUUGAGUUAAGGAGAGGAAAGUGGAAUUCCUAGUGUAGCGGUGAAAUGCGUAGAUAUAGGAAGGAACACCAGUGGCGAAGGCGACUACCUGGACUGAUACUGACACUGAGGUGCGAAAGCGUGGGGAGCAAAC